This is a long non-coding RNA of Suricata suricatta (meerkat), 188 nucleotides long. RefSeq lists it as uncharacterized. The transcript has 3 exons. The record is from RefSeq and is a predicted model, not a curated record. NCBI's taxonomy places the organism in Eukaryota, Metazoa, Chordata, Mammalia, Carnivora, Herpestidae.
UGAAAACUACACAAAACAAGGCUUGGCUAAUGUAUAUGAAGACAGCAUGAAAAACAAUACAGAAAGUGGUGGUUGGAGUGGUGAUCUCAUCUUUGCUGCUGGCGCUCACUGGUGCAAUGGCCCCAGGGACAAGACUUGCUUCCUUGAUAUCAGUCUUCUCCAAAUUUAUUGUAUCCCAGUUUGGUGAC